This 245-nucleotide unclassified non-coding RNA is filed under the name Hevea brasiliensis (rubber tree). The record is from RNAcentral. Lineage: Eukaryota; Viridiplantae; Streptophyta; Magnoliopsida; Malpighiales; Euphorbiaceae.
CAGUUCUAUGAACAUCAGGAGAGGUUCUAUAAUAAUGAAACACACAACUUAUCAAAAGCUUCUGUCGUAAAAGAAAUGGUGAAAUUUGCCACGGAAGCAGUUGGGAACUCUUAUUAUUCUGCAAUUGAAUCUGGUUUUAAUGACAGAAAAACUGAUCUUAAAACAAGGGUUUCCUUCAAGUAUAGUACUUCUAGAGGAGUAUUUGACACUCCUACUUUUUAUGUCAAUGGAUUUGCAUUGCCUGA